This 704-nucleotide ribosomal RNA is filed under the name Vibrio sp. RNAcentral describes it as "bacterial SSU rRNA". It matches the Rfam family "Bacterial small subunit ribosomal RNA", at positions 345 to 1035 of the family's 1533-position model. The record is from RNAcentral. Lineage: Bacteria; Pseudomonadati; Pseudomonadota; Gammaproteobacteria; Vibrionales; Vibrionaceae.
GAGGCAGCAGUGGGGAAUAUUGCACAAUGGGCGCAAGCCUGAUGCAGCCAUGCCGCGUGUAUGAAGAAGGCCUUCGGGGUUGUAAAAGUACUUUCAGCAGUGAGGAAGGUAUCGUAGUUUAAUAGCUGCGGUAUUUUGACGUUUAGCUGCAGAAGAAGCACCGGCUAACUCCGUGCCAGCAGCCGCGGUAAUACGGAGGGUGCGAGCGUUAAUCGGAAUUACUGGGCGUAAAGCGCAUGCAGGUGGUUUGUUAAGUCAGAUGUGAAAGCCCGGGGCUCAACCUCGGAAUAGCAUUUGAAACUGGCAGACUAGAGUACUGUAGAGGGGGGUAGAAUUUCAGGUGUAGCGGUGAAAUGCGUAGAGAUCUGAAGGAAUACCGGUGGCGAAGGCGGCCCCCUGGACAGAUACUGACACUCAGAUGCGAAAGCGUGGGGAGCAAACAGGAUUAGAUACCCUGGUAGUCCACGCCGUAAACGAUGUCUACUUGGAGGUUGUGGCCUUGAGCCGUGGCUUUCGGAGCUAACGCGUUAAGUAGACCGCCUGGGGAGUACGGUCGCAAGAUUAAAACUCAAAUGAAUUGACGGGGGCCCGCACAAGCGGUGGAGCAUGUGGUUUAAUUCGAUGCAACGCGAAGAACCUUACCUACUCUUGACAUCCAUAGAACUUUUCCAGAGAUGGAUUGGUGCCUUCGGGAACUAUGAGAC